RNAcentral lists this ribosomal RNA (528 nucleotides) under uncultured bacterium. RNAcentral's name for it is "partial 16S ribosomal RNA". It matches the Rfam family "Bacterial small subunit ribosomal RNA", at positions 355 to 874 of the family's 1533-position model. The record is from RNAcentral.
UGGGGAAUUUUGGACAAUGGGCGAAAGCCUGAUCCAGCAAUGCCGCGUGUGUGAAGAAGGCCUUCGGGUUGUAAAGCACUUUUGUCCGGAAAGAAAUCCUUGGCUCUAAUACAGUCGGGGGAUGACGGUACCGGAAGAAUAAGCACCGGCUAACUACGUGCCAGCAGCCGCGGUAAUACGUAGGGUGCAAGCGUUAAUCGGAAUUACUGGGCGUAAAGCGUGCGCAGGCGGUUUGCUAAGACCGAUGUGAAAUCCCCGGGCUCAACCUGGGAACUGCAUUGGUGACUGGCAGGCUAGAGUAUGGCAGAGGGGGGUAGAAUUCCACGUGUAGCAGUGAAAUGCGUAGAGAUGUGGAGGAAUACCGAUGGCGAAGGCAGCCCCCUGGGCAAGUACUGACGCUCAUGCACGAAAAGCGUGGGGAGCAAACNGGAUUAAUACCCUGGUAGUCCACGCCCUAAAANGAUGUCAACUAGUUGUUGGGGAUUCAUUUUCCUUAGUAACGUAGCUAACGCGUGAAGUUGACCGCCU